UCAAAUUAUAAUUAAAAUAGAUCUAGAGAAAAUAUGCUGUCACCAACUAUAUUAUUCUCAGUGAUGUGGCAUCACCUUCACCAAAGAUGGUUCAGCUGUAGGUGAAGGCACCACUUUGUCCAGCAGGGGGCAGUGGUGUAUCGCUGUUCAGCAGCUGAAACACUGUCUGCAUGAACAGCUGCAUAGGAGAGUAUCAUGUAUCAUCACUUUUUGCUUCAUAUUAUGUGGGCAGGUCUGAUCAUUUCAACCAUCUGUAUCAACAGUCUCUGAGCCCUGAGGUGCCUUUAUGAUGUGAGCAACAGUCGCUGUGCUUGUUACAAAGAAUUCCCACAGGAAUGUAUAGCACAUUAGGAUUUUAUUAGUUCCACAGCUGUUCCAGUAGCUAAUUCCCAUUAUAUCACAAAGGGACUUCAGUAUUUAUUUAUUACUUAUCAUAUUCUCGCUUUUUAAACUAGUAUAAUAAAUAAGUCAUUUCUUUUUAAGGUCAGAUAGGUACAUUUUGAAACAUAACACCUGCUCUCAAGAGAUUAUUAAUACAUAUUUACGUAAAGGCAAUUAGGUAAUUUUUCAAAUUAUACAUACAUGACUGAUUAAAUAAAUAACGGACAAAAUAAGGACACAAUUCACUUAAGUGCCUCCUUUAAAAAACACUUAAUGCUAAACAGAGUGAUCGUUUUCAUAAAAAAUAAAACCACAAUUUGUGAAGCACCUCAGUCAUAUAGUAUAAUUACUGAGCCCCCCCUGCAAGAAAGCAACGUUAAAAUUUACUUAGAAAAUCUGUGAAUACUAAUUGGAGUUUGUAGCUGUUGAGAUUUGAUGCCCCAAUAAUAACAACCACAGCUGUAACUUCGAAUAACAUAUUUAGGACAAUUUAUAUGCAUUUAAACUUAAAUGUAUUCUCAUUCAUUCUUCCCAUAGACUAGUUUAACACAUUCCUAUGGAUGUUCUCAAAAGUAAAAAGUAAGUAUGACUGAGGGCUUUUGCAUGUCGUUGUUGGACUAGAAUUUGAGAUCAACAGUUGUACUUAAAACAGAGUAUUGCUUAAAUAUUAUACUGAACAAAUACUGAGCCAUAGACUACAAUUAUGCUGUCAUGGCACAAUGAGAAAACUGAAACUGAAGUUUACUUUAAAGCUUCUUUUUCUUAUAAAUUAAUCUCUGGGAAGAUUUUUUAAAAGGAAUUAUGCCCAGUUCAGUCUUUGGAGAGUAUCAUUUAAUCAGACAUUCAGGGUCUUCUCAUAUUGGGAUCAGGAUGUCAGGAUGCUACAUUGGAUUGACUGCACAUAGUCUCCAAGCAGACUCUUACUUCAACCAGCUAUUGCAAGAACUAUGUUUGUAAUUUGUACUGGAGGAGCAUUCAUUUUCAUUUUUCGUGUGUGAAACAGUGAACAUAACAAGUUUCAUUUAUUGGGGUUGGUUUAUAUGUACAGUUUAUAAAUACAGACUCACCAAAAGUUCCAAAUACAGGUGUUUUUAUACUACAAUCCACUUAAAUACAACUUAAACUUACAAUCCAAUUUAACGAUUUAUGUUACUGCUGAAACCAAUGGCUGCACUAGUGACAAUUUAGAUGUUCUAUUAAGGGGGUAAUUACUUUUGUAUGAUAUAUUUGUAAUGAAUCUAGAUCACUUUGUAGAGAUCUGUUUUCAUUUACAUUAAAAUGUCCUUUUCUCGAUCAGUGUCAAGGCCACAUUAAAUCCCUUUUGAUUCAACGUUAUAAUAAAAAAUAAAACCUGAUAUCUUACAAGGGGCGGAACAUCUUUCAUAGGCACUGUCAUUUAAAUCAGAAGCAUUACAUCUAACUGUGGCACAUUUUACUGCAUCUCAUUUCUCUCUCUCAGUCUGGAGGUGAAAGUUCAAGUACUACGGGGGGCUCCUAUAAUGAGCCCUCUGAACGGAUGGCUAUCAUCCAGCUUUAAUCUCCGUGUGGCUCAUACAUCACACACUGCAUUAAUUCGAGGCGGUCAGGAUGCAACAAACCACUUCAUUACAGUUUAGUCCGUGUUGGGUGGAGGCCAGGGUUAAUGAGCUGCCGGUCUCUUCUUCUUUAUCUCUUCACAUUAUUGUCAAACUGUUGUUUACUAUCUUAAUUACGUGACACAGUUUGCUCUCUAUGUUUUCCAGAUCUAUCUCCAGGUUGUAACCUCUUCCUUUAAAACU
Long non-coding RNA from Etheostoma spectabile (orangethroat darter), 2159 nucleotides. RefSeq lists it as uncharacterized. NCBI's taxonomy places the organism in Eukaryota, Metazoa, Chordata, Actinopteri, Perciformes, Percidae. The record is from RefSeq and is a predicted model, not a curated record. The transcript is spliced from 3 exons.